UCUCUUUAGGAUGAAUUAGGCUUCAAAUAGGUUUAGGUUAGUCGCCUUAAAAAUUACUUAAUUGACCUUGGCUUCUUGGCUCCAGUCUGCCCGUCCGCUGCCGCGGAUGGACCAUGGAUUUGACAAUUUUUCUGUUCGCGGCCGCAGUUCUGAACACGGAGCUGGGCGCGGAGCAGGUACUUGCUCUUCUUUCUCCUUUUCAAUCGGGCUAUCUUCCGAUUGGCCUUUCAUGCUCCAUAUUGACUCUAAAAUACCCUUUUAACUUCCUCUUAGCUCGGAGUGGCUCCUGCAAAACCUAAAAAUCUUAAUUAUACCAUUUUUUUAUUUUUUACAUUCAAACAUUGAUAAAGUGCGGCCAAAUUAGAGUGUAAAUAGUAUCUAAAUAGCAUAAUUAUCGUCUACUAUCAACACCAUGCACUGAGCAAUCAAACCACACCCUGCAAAGGCCUAACUUGCUCGAGCGACUUCUCUAACUCGUCAUACCAAGAAUAUUCCUUAUAGAUUGAACACAUUAGUGUAACAUCCACACCACAAAAGUUGACUCCCGCGAGCAACGUAAUAUUCCUAACCGGCUUACUUACCCUAACUCAGAGGUGCAAACUUACCUCUGCUUCAUGAAUCAAGUGCCUGCUCACAACAAAAGAGACUCAUUCCACGGUCGAUAACAUGCACACACACUGAGGAACUCCAAUAUAAAUAAAACUCACUCACCCUCAUAAAUGACAUUCAUAUGACACAAAAGACGCACCAUAGGCUUUUCCAUAGUGUACUACUCUACCACCUGAGCUCAUUCAAUGUAGGAUCAAUUAGGGAUUUAUUUGGUUGUAAUGUAAGCUGUGGGCCGGGUAGGAUACAUUUAGGUAUACGAGUUGCUACACCUCCCUAAGCACUUUAAAAUAUCUAUGUUAGCAUUCAAAACCCCACACUUAUGUCAAAGCAUGACUCUACCUUCACAUCACUAUAUAUUAACUCGUUUCUUCUUUAAGCACAAUUACAUCAAGAGCCACCACUUAUUCAGGAAUAUUUUUCACUACAACACAACUCUCUC
RNAcentral lists this long non-coding RNA (1048 nucleotides) under Nicotiana benthamiana. RNAcentral's name for it is "long non-coding RNA (NBEN_LNC014615)". The record is from RNAcentral. Lineage: Eukaryota; Viridiplantae; Streptophyta; Magnoliopsida; Solanales; Solanaceae.